UGAAGAGCAAGGAAACUGGACAACAAAAAGGCGCCAAACUUGUAAAAAAACAAUUGCGUGUUAUCUUGUAGCAUGAGUGACAACAAAAAGUUAACUCGUACAAUGUCCAAUCGGCAUGGUGAUAUAAGCCAUGAACUGCUAAAAUGGGCUGUCGAAGAGAUGGGCAUUAGACCUCAAGGCCGCCAUGUUAACGAUCKUCUGCCAACAGCUGAAGACCUAAAACUUUUGAGUCGUGGUGCCAUGGUGGAUGUGUGGGAAUUCGUUAUCAAACAUGUUAAAUCAACAAAGAAUGCACAGAAAAUAAAAGGAAAUCUCAAAGUGUAUCCUUUACAUCUUCUACUUAUAUUGCAU
Long non-coding RNA from Exaiptasia diaphana, 351 nucleotides. RefSeq lists it as uncharacterized. Lineage: Eukaryota; Metazoa; Cnidaria; Anthozoa; Actiniaria; Aiptasiidae. The record is from RefSeq and is a predicted model, not a curated record. The transcript is spliced from 3 exons.